GCACGGGUGAGUAACACGUGAAUAAUCUACCUCCGAGUGGGGAAUAACUGAGAGAAAUCUUAGCUAAUACCGCAUAACACUUACGAGUCAAAGCAGCAAUGCGCUUGGAGAGGAGUUCGCGGCAGAUUAGUUAGUUGGCGGGGUAAUGGCCCACCAAGACGAUGAUCUGUAUCCGGCCUGAGAGGGCGCACGGACACACUGGAACUGAAACACGGUCCAGACUCCUACGGGAGGCAGCAGUGGGGAAUUUUGCGCAAUGGGGGAAACCCUGACGCAGCAACGCCGCGUGGAGGAUGAAAUCCCUUGGGAUGUAAACUCCUUUCGAUAGGGAAGAUAAUGACGGUACCUAUAGAAGAAGUCCCGGCUAACUUCGUGCCAGCAGCCGCGGUAAUACGAGGGGGGCAAGCGUUGUUCGGAAUUAUUGGGCGUAAAGGGUGCGUAGGCGGUUUGACAAGUCUUAUGUGAAAUCUUCGGGCUCAACCCGAAGUCUGCAUAGGAAACUGUCGGGCUUGAGUAUUGGAGAGGUGAGUGGAAUUUCCGGUGUAGCGGUGAAAUGCGUAGAUAUCGGAAGGAACACCUGUG
RNAcentral lists this ribosomal RNA (582 nucleotides) under uncultured bacterium. Its description in RNAcentral is "bacterial SSU rRNA". It matches the Rfam family "Bacterial small subunit ribosomal RNA", at positions 100 to 714 of the family's 1533-position model. The record is from RNAcentral.